GUCCACAAUGACUCUCGGCAACGGAUAUCUCGGCUCUUGCAUCGAUGAAGAACGUAGCGAAAUGCGAUACUUGGUGUGAAUUGCAGAAUCCCGUGAACCAUCGAGUCUUUGAACGCAAGUUGCGCCCGAAGCCAUUAGGCCGAGGGCACGCCUGCCUGGGUGUCACCAAU
RNAcentral lists this ribosomal RNA (170 nucleotides) under Soemmeringia semperflorens. RNAcentral's name for it is "5.8S ribosomal RNA". It matches the Rfam family "5.8S ribosomal RNA". Rfam says of the family: 5.8S ribosomal RNA (5.8S rRNA) is a component of the large subunit of the eukaryotic ribosome. It is transcribed by RNA polymerase I as part of the 45S precursor that also contains 18S and 28S rRNA. The record is from RNAcentral. Lineage: Eukaryota; Viridiplantae; Streptophyta; Magnoliopsida; Fabales; Fabaceae.